RNAcentral lists this long non-coding RNA (637 nucleotides) under Trifolium pratense (red clover). Its description in RNAcentral is "long non-coding RNA (TPRA_LNC001596)". The record is from RNAcentral. Lineage: Eukaryota; Viridiplantae; Streptophyta; Magnoliopsida; Fabales; Fabaceae.
UUUGAAAAAUAAAACAUUAAGAAAAUGUAUGAUUUUAUGAUUUGCUAGAUUUUUAAUUAUCGAUUUUUAAUUGUUUAAACUGUGCAAUGUAAUUUAAUAGUGUUUAAUUGUUGUAUGAAAUCUUUCCUAUGAAAAUCGAUGGUGCUUAUCAAUUAUUACACAUAAUUUUAAUCACAAUUGAUAUAUUUGUCACGGUGGUUGAAAAUAAUGCCUUGCAUUGAAAUGUCGCGGGUUUAAUUAGGUUUAUGGUUUUCUUGUGUAUACAAGCUUAUAAAAGAGAUAUACAAGUUUAUAAUGUAAGAGAGAUAUUUCAAAAUUUUGAAAUAUGAUGUCGUCGCAUAUCCAAUUGAUGAGCAACUAUAGAUGACCAAAAUGUGAUGAACUGAGUUACAGUUGACGUAUGUGAUGACAGUGAUGUACUAUGAUCAUGUCCAUGUAUACUACUUUGUAUAUGACAUAAGUUCUAAUUAAUUCAAUCAAUAAUUAAGUAUUAAUUAAUAUAGCAAUAGCCUAUAACACACACAAGUAACAACGCUAUUUGGAACUAGUUGUUGAGGUUGUUUGUUCCUUUGCUUGGUCCAGAUGGUGGAACUUUCCCCUUUGGAAGCAUAUUGAGAAUCAAUGGCCCAUAUGCUGN